CACACACACACACACACACACACCAGGGAUGGUUUUGUAUGUUGGCAGGUGAAUUGUGUCACUUUCUUUGUUUCACUUUACUUCCAAUAGCUAAACAACAGUUAAACAACACAAGUGAACCGACUGACACAGACUCAGUGAAAAGUAAGCUGUUUAUAUUGUUAAUACGCAAUGCUGUUUAUAUACAUGUGUGUAUACUGACCAUCAAACAUCAAACACGGAUCAAAGUACCCAGCCAGGUGAUGUUUUUUUACCCCUUUCUGUUGGACGUUUCCAUGACAUCAGACAUCAUUCAUUACAUUAUCUAGUUGUGUGACCGUCAAGUGUCGAACAGUGAGAGAUUUCAUGUCAUAUUCAAUGACACCAUACAUGUAACUGAGGCUAUUUUUUGAGUUGAUAUAUACCCAUCAGCUGCGGUUAGUGUUGGUGUGCCGUUGGCGGUGGUGCUACUGCUGUUGGUGCCGUUGGCGGCGUUGGCGGUGUGGCUCUGUCGACGAAAAAAGAAACCGACGGUCAGGACUGAAGACGGGGCUCUCCCUGAGCAGACUGCGGCACAACCUGAAGCACAAUCACUGCUAAGUGGAACCAGUAGAUUUCGUCCGGGGGCUUUUUCUGCGGACUACAGCGCUGCUACAGAUGAUGUGACCGUGACCAUGCCAGAUGCCUUUGGAGGGAAAACACGUUUGAAUGGAGAUUGUAGAGAUUGAGGGCGAAAAUUGUAUUGAAGUAUUGGCUUUGGCCCCGUCCACACAGUCUUGUACGUUUGGUCCGACCGUCCAGACAAACCCGGAAUUUUGGAUACCUGCAAACACAUUUUUUUAAACCAGGGACCUCUACGAAUUCUCUUUUUUGCAUAGGAAAUUCCCUUCCUAUGGAGAUGACCCCGGAAGUGCUUGGAGGAAAGGUGGUUCGAAUUCUAAAAAUGCUCAAAUUCUAAAAGGAGCCUUGAUGCUUCUUUUAACCCUCCUUUAUACUCCUGAGAUUCCUUUGCGAAAGGAAAGGAGAUAGUGGUAUCCCAUAUUCCUUUACGGCGGCAAUAUUUAAAGCAACAUGCCAUCAACGAAGUUAACCGACUCUACGCAAAGACGCAUGAGAGAUGGGGGAAAGCAGAAGAAUAGAAGAGAAGAAAA
This is a long non-coding RNA of Gadus morhua (Atlantic cod), 1130 nucleotides long. RefSeq lists it as uncharacterized. Lineage: Eukaryota; Metazoa; Chordata; Actinopteri; Gadiformes; Gadidae. The record is from RefSeq and is a predicted model, not a curated record. The transcript has 4 exons.